GACGAACGCUGGCGGCGUGCUUAACACAUGCAAGUCGAGCGGUAAGGCCCCUUCGGGGGUACACGAGCGGCGAACGGGUGAGUAACACGUGGGUGACCUGCCCUCAGCUCUGGGAUAAGCCUGGGAAACUGGGUCUAAUACUGGAUAUGACUCCACGGUGCAUGUCGUGGGGUGGAAAGCCUUGUGCGGCUGAGGAUGGGCCCGCGGCCUAUCAGCUUGUGGUGGGGUGAUGGCCUACCAAGGCGACGACGGGUAGCCGGCCUGAGAGGGCGACCGGCCACACUGGGACUGAGACACGGCCCAGACUCCUACGGGAGGCAGCAGUGGGGAAUCUUGCGCAAUGGGCGAAAGCCUGACGCAGCGACGCCGCGUGAGGGAUGACGGCCU
This 387-nucleotide ribosomal RNA is filed under the name uncultured bacterium. Its description in RNAcentral is "bacterial SSU rRNA". It matches the Rfam family "Bacterial small subunit ribosomal RNA", at positions 28 to 417 of the family's 1533-position model. The record is from RNAcentral.